UUUCAUUCAUCUCUCUUCGAUCUUUACUUUUUAUAUUUAACACGUUAUCAGCACUGUUGCUUUCCGUUGAGAAAAGGGCCACACGAGAAGGCCAGACUGUUGCCGAUUCCAUGAGACAAUAUCAUGUCCACGGCAAGAAUCCAUGGACAUGGAUACAUCUACGAUCAGGAGAUUGUUGAAUUUGCUUUUGUCUUCUUCGAAUCAAUCAAAUAUCUAAUAGUAAUACUAACUGGUUGUGUUUUGUGAAUCACAUCACCUGGCAUGUACGCAUGGCAAGAUUGAUUGAUCGAAUUGAUUAAUACCCAAACAUAACGAGAAAAUAGGAAUCGGCACGAACAUGGCACCUCCACCGCGUGGUUGCACGCGUCCCCUAUAGACAGCAACGCUUAGCCGGCGUGCGGGCAUCAACAUCCUUUGACGCGACUACAAGCUCAUGGAGAGCGGGUGCUCUUCGGCGAUGGACCACGACAACCUCUUGAGACGUAAACAGCGACGGCCUUCGGCGAGCGAUGCCUUCAGGUGUCGCGACGUGUAAAUCCUUCUUGAGGCGAAACACCACCAUUGUGCGCUACAUGCACUCCUGCGCAACGGGCUCUCCCAGCGGUGGCGAAAGCAUCCAACGGCGCGUGGCGGAUUCUACUGGCUACGGUUGGCGAGACGAUGAACCACGGCGGUAGCAUCACUCACUGGUCCUCAUGACCAGCGGUACACGAUCACGGACCUCGGCGAGGACGAUGCUCACCCAACGAGGACGACACUCAUGAGUGUCUCUUUAUGGCGCAUCAGACAACCGGCGUGUUACAUCGACAUCAGUAUCAACCUAGAACUAGAGAAGUCAAGCUAAUCCAAAUUAAGUGAUUCAUUUCCACGCGCAGGAAGAAAAGAGAUAAGGAAUCUUAACCUUUCACGGUUUUGCAGUUAUUAGUCCUCUG
Molecule: long non-coding RNA, 932 nt
Filed under: Hordeum vulgare
Lineage: Eukaryota; Viridiplantae; Streptophyta; Magnoliopsida; Poales; Poaceae
Description: long non-coding RNA (HVUL_LNC002914)
Source: RNAcentral